GGAAGGGGGAACCUGAAUGCAGCGCCGCCCGCGGGGAGGGAGGAAGGGCUUUCGGAUCGUUAAACUUCCCCCCUUCAGGGAAAAAAGGGACAGUACCUGACUAAGAAGCCCCGGCUAGCUACGUGCCAGAAGCCGCGGGUAUUACGACUUGCUCUCCCCCGCGGGGAUACGAGA
RNAcentral lists this ribosomal RNA (174 nucleotides) under uncultured Bacillota bacterium. Its description in RNAcentral is "uncultured Firmicutes bacterium partial 16S ribosomal RNA". The record is from RNAcentral. Lineage: Bacteria; Bacillati; Bacillota.